RNAcentral lists this small RNA (18 nucleotides) under Arabidopsis thaliana (thale cress). Its description in RNAcentral is "ATSL213770". Lineage: Eukaryota; Viridiplantae; Streptophyta; Magnoliopsida; Brassicales; Brassicaceae. The record is from RNAcentral.
CAAUUCCCAACACUUUCA